GAUGAACGCUAGCGGCAGGCCUAACACAUGCAAGUCGAGGGGUAGCAGGAUUAAGCUUGCUUAAUUGCUGACGACCGGCGCACGGGUGCGUAACGCGUAUGCAACCUACCUUAUACUGGGGUAUAGCCCGGAGAAAUUCGGAUUAAUCCCCCAUAGUACUAAUGAAUCGCAUGGUUUAUUAGUUAAAGCAUUGCGGUAUAAGAUGGGCAUGCGUCCUAUUAGCUAGAUGGUGAGGUAACGGCUCACCAUGGCUACGAUAGGUAGGGGGCCUGAGAUGGUGGUCCCCCACACUGGGACUGAGACACGGACCAGACUCCUACGGGAGGCAGCAGUGAGGAAUAUUGGUCAAUGGGCGCAAGCCUGAACCAGCCAUGCCGCGUGCAGGAAGAAUGCCCUAUGGGUUGUAAACUGCUUUUAUUUGGGAAUAAACCUCUUUACGUGUAGAGAGCUGAAGGUACCAAAUGAAUAAGCACCGGCUAACUCCGUGCCAGCAGCCGCAGUAA
Molecule: ribosomal RNA, 503 nt
Filed under: uncultured bacterium
Lineage: Bacteria
Description: partial 16S ribosomal RNA
Rfam family: Bacterial small subunit ribosomal RNA
Source: RNAcentral